This 253-nucleotide ribosomal RNA is filed under the name uncultured bacterium. RNAcentral's name for it is "partial 16S ribosomal RNA". It matches the Rfam family "Bacterial small subunit ribosomal RNA", at positions 524 to 776 of the family's 1533-position model. The record is from RNAcentral.
GACAGAGGUGGCAAGCGUUGUUCGGAAUUAUUGGGCGUAAAGGGCGUGUAGGCGGUUUUGUAAGUCGGGCGUGCAAUCCUAUGGCUUAACCAUAGAACUGCGUUCGAUACUGCAUAACUUGAGUGCAGGAGAGGAGAGUGGAAUUCCCAGUGUAGAGGUGAAAUUCGUAGAUAUUGGGAGGAACACCGGUGGCGAAGGCGGCUCUCUGGACUGUAACUGACGCUAAAGCGCGAAAGCGUGGGGAGCAAACAGG